AUGCCGACCAUCAAGCAGGAGCAGCCGGACCGGGAGGAGCUGGGGCGAAGGGAGGGCGUGGAGGAGCAGGAGCAGCUCCCUCUCCCGCCUCUGGCUGCUCGGCCCAUCCCCUGCCCUGAGCUCUGUGGAGCAUGGCCCCUCACUCCCACCCGCACCCUCUCCCGGAGGACGCCCAACGAGUUCCAGUUCGUCAGCGGCCAGGAGACCGCCAAUGACUGGAAGAGGCGCAUCCGGCACAAAGGGGCCGCACUUCAACGGGUGCAGUUUAAUAAAGGAAGUGAAGAAAGUGCCCGGCAGGUGGUCGUUGCCUCAGAAAUCCAGAAGUCCUUGUGGUUCCUCACCCUGGCUUGGGCUCUGCUUUUCUUUACCCUCCUCAAUUUCUGGGCAGGUGCCACUUCACAGCCAACAGUGACUCAACCUGCCUCCCAAUCGGUGUCUCCUGGACGAACAACGACCCUUUCCUGCUCCAAAAGCAGUGGCAGCUGGAAUGAUGGAGUUUACUGGCUUCAACAGAAACAUGGGCAACCGCCUCACUUUGUGCACUGCAAUGGCUGCCGCAGCAGAGGAGCAGGGAUCCCCGACCGCUUCACUGCCUCCACCUCAGGGAACUCAGGAUCUCUCACGAUCACCAACGUUGAGGAUGGAGACGAGGCCGUUUAUUACUGUGCUGCCUGGUCUAGCACUGCUAGCAUGUUUCACGGUGGUACAACCUGAUGGGGAACUGAGACA
Non-coding RNA from Pogona vitticeps (central bearded dragon), 729 nucleotides. NCBI's taxonomy places the organism in Eukaryota, Metazoa, Chordata, Lepidosauria, Squamata, Agamidae. The record is from the annotation of a RefSeq genome assembly.